UACGGGGGGGGCAAGCGUUGUUCGGAAUUACUGGGCGUAAAGCGUGCGCAGGCGGCUUCCUAAGUCAGAUGUGAAAUCCCCGGGCUUAACCUGGGAACUGCGUUUGAAACUGGGAGGCUAGAGUGCGGCAGAGGGGGGUGGAAUUCCACGUGUAGCAGUGAAAUGCGUAGAUAUGUGGAGGAACACCGAUGGCGAAGGCAGCCCCCUGGGCCUGCACUGACGCUCAUGCACGAAAGCGUGGGGAGCAAACAGG
This 253-nucleotide ribosomal RNA is filed under the name uncultured bacterium. Its description in RNAcentral is "partial 16S ribosomal RNA". It matches the Rfam family "Bacterial small subunit ribosomal RNA", at positions 524 to 776 of the family's 1533-position model. The record is from RNAcentral.